UGGGGAAUCUUCCGCAAUGGGCGAAAGCCUGACGGAGCAACGCCGCGUGAAUGAAGAAGGCCUUCGGGUCGUAAAGUUCUGUCUUUAGGGAAGAAGUCUCUUUAUGUAAAUAAUGUAGAGAGGUGACGGUACCUGAGGAGGAAGCUCCGGCUAACUACGUGCCAGCAGCCGCGGUAAUACGUAGGGAGCAAGCGUUGUCCGGAAUUACUGGGCGUAAAGGGCGCGUAGGCGGGAUAUUAAGUUAGGUGUGAAAACUCUGGGCUCAACUCAGAGACUGCACUUAAAACUGGUAUUCGUGAGGACAGGAGAGGAAAGUGGAAUUCCUAGUGUAGCGGUGAAAUGCGUAGAUAUUAGGAGGAACACCAGUGGCGAAGGCGACUUUCUGGACUGUAACUGACGCUGAGGCGCGAAAGCGUGGGGAGUGAACG
This 428-nucleotide ribosomal RNA is filed under the name uncultured prokaryote. Its description in RNAcentral is "bacterial SSU rRNA". It matches the Rfam family "Bacterial small subunit ribosomal RNA", at positions 355 to 774 of the family's 1533-position model. The record is from RNAcentral.